AUACGGAGGGUGCAAGCGUUGUUCGGAAUCACUGGGCGUAAAGGGCGCGCAGGCGGUUUGGUAAGUCAGAUGUGAAAGCCCACGGCUCAACCGUGGAAGUGCAUUUGAAACUGCCAGACUUGAGUACCAGAGGGGAAAGUGGAAUUCCCGGUGUAGAGGUGAGAUUCGUAGAUAUCGGGAGGAAUACCGGUGGCGAAGGCGACUUUCUGGCUGGAUACUGACGCUGAGGCGCGAAAGCGUGGGGAGCAAACAGGAUUAGAAACCCUAGUAGUCC
RNAcentral lists this ribosomal RNA (274 nucleotides) under uncultured bacterium. Its description in RNAcentral is "partial 16S ribosomal RNA". It matches the Rfam family "Bacterial small subunit ribosomal RNA", at positions 523 to 796 of the family's 1533-position model. The record is from RNAcentral.